CGGACGGGUGAGUAACGCGUGGAUAACCUGCCUCACACUGGGGGAUAACAGUUAGAAAUGACUGCUAAUACCGCAUAAGCGCACAGUACCGCAUGGUACAGUGUGAAAAACUCCGGUGGUGUGAGAUGGAUCCGCGUCCGAUUAGCCAGUUGGCGGGGUAACGGCCCACCAAAGCGACGAUCAGUAGCCGACCUGAGAGGGUGACCGGCCACAUUGGGACUGAGACACGGCCCAA
RNAcentral lists this ribosomal RNA (235 nucleotides) under uncultured bacterium. RNAcentral's name for it is "partial 16S ribosomal RNA". It matches the Rfam family "Bacterial small subunit ribosomal RNA", at positions 99 to 334 of the family's 1533-position model. The record is from RNAcentral.